GGGGUGAAGGCUGAUGGAAAAGUACAGCUUGGAAUCAAGGAGUUUGAAGAGCUCGGUCCAAAAUCAUCCCAAGAACCUGAAAUCUCUAUCACUGACUAUGUUCUGAGGGAUGCCCCAAUACUUCACCACAUGCUUCAAGAAAAGUCGAGCCGCCUCCUUUGCUGAGCAAUGUAGGGGUGCAAGAAUAAAGAUGUCAUAUUUGAAUAACUAAUCCACCACCACAA
Molecule: long non-coding RNA, 224 nt
Filed under: Elaeis guineensis (African oil palm)
Lineage: Eukaryota; Viridiplantae; Streptophyta; Magnoliopsida; Arecales; Arecaceae
Description: long non-coding RNA (EGUI_LNC036664)
Source: RNAcentral